AGAGUUUGAUCAUGGCUCAGAUUGAACGCUGGCGGCAGGCCUAACACAUGCAAGUCGAGCGGUAGCACAGAGAGCUUGCUCUCGGGUGACGAGCGGCGGACGGGUGAGUAAUGUCUGGGAAACUGCCUGAUGGAGGGGGAUAACUACUGGAAACGGUAGCUAAUACCGCAUAACGUCGCAAGACCAAAGUGGGGGACCUUCGGGCCUCAUGCCAUCAGAUGUGCCCAGAUGGGAUUAGCUAGUAGGUGGGGUAACGGCUCACCUAGGCGACGAUCCAUAGCUGGUCUGAGAGGAUGACCAGCCACACUGGAACUGAGACACGGUCCAGACUCCUACGGGAGGCAGCAGUGGGGAAUAUUGCACAAUGGGCGCAAGCCUGAUGCAGCCAUGCCGCGUGUGUGAAGAAGGCCUUCGGGUUGUAAAGCACUUUCAGCGGGGAGGAAGGCGGUGAGGUUAAUAACCUCAUCGAUUGACGUUACCCGCAGAAGAAGCACCGGCUAACUCCGUGCCAGCAGCCGCGGUAAUACGGAGGGUGCAAGCGUUAAUCGGAAUUACUGGGCGUAAAGCGCACGCAGGCGGUCUGUCAAGUCGGAUGUGAAAUCCCCGGGCUUAACCUGGGAACUGCAUUCGAAACUGGCAGGCUAGAGUCUUGUAGAGGGGGGUAGAAUUCCAGGUGUAGCGGUGAAAUGCGUAGAGAUCUGGAGGAAUACCGGUGGCGAAGGCGGCCCCCUGGACAAAGACUGACGCUCAGGUGCGAAAGCGUGGGGAGCAAACAGGAUUAGAUACCCUGGUAGUCCACGCCGUAAACGAUGUCGAUUUGGAGGUUGUGCCCUUGAGGCGUGGCUUCCGGAGCUAACGCGUUAAAUCGACCGCCUGGGGAGUACGGCCGCAAGGUUAAAACUCAAAUGAAUUGACGGGGGCCCGCACAAGCGGUGGAGCAUGUGGUUUAAUUCGAUGCAACGCGAAGAACCUUACCUGGUCUUGACAUCCACAGAACUUUCCAGAGAUGGAUUGGUGCCUUCGGGAACUGUGAGACAGGUGCUGCAUGGCUGUCGUCAGCUCGUGUUGUGAAAUGUUGGGUUAAGUCCCGCAACGAGCGCAACCCUUAUCCUUUGUUGCCAGCGGUCCGGCCGGGAACUCAAAGGAGACUGCCAGUGAUAAACUGGAGGAAGGUGGGGAUGACGUCAAGUCAUCAUGGCCCUUACGACCAGGGCUACACACGUGCUACAAUGGCAUAUACAAAGAGAAGCGACCUCGCGAGAGCAAGCGGACCUCAUAAAGUAUGUCGUAGUCCGGAUUGGAGUCUGCAACUCGACUCCAUGAAGUCGGAAUCGCUAGUAAUCGUAGAUCAGAAUGCUACGGUGAAUACGUUCCCGGGCCUUGUACACACCGCCCGUCACACCAUGGGAGUGGGUUGCAAAAGAAGUAGGUAGCUUAACCUUCGGGAGGGCGCUUACCACUUUGUGAUUCAUGACUGGGGUGAAGUCGUAACAAGGUAACCGUAGGGGAACCUGCGGUUGGAUCACCU
This 1528-nucleotide ribosomal RNA is filed under the name Klebsiella pneumoniae CHS 11. RNAcentral describes it as "bacterial SSU rRNA". It matches the Rfam family "Bacterial small subunit ribosomal RNA". The record is from RNAcentral. Lineage: Bacteria; Pseudomonadati; Pseudomonadota; Gammaproteobacteria; Enterobacterales; Enterobacteriaceae.